This is a long non-coding RNA of Hyalella azteca, 199 nucleotides long. RefSeq lists it as uncharacterized. The transcript has 3 exons. NCBI's taxonomy places the organism in Eukaryota, Metazoa, Arthropoda, Malacostraca, Amphipoda, Hyalellidae. The record is from RefSeq and is a predicted model, not a curated record.
CCCCCACCCCCACAUCUGCCAGCGCCCCCCAGUCUACCGCCCCCUCUGACGUCAGCGGUACAGGAACGAUGUCGACGGGGGAGAGCAACCCCGCCUUCAGUGAGGGGGGCACCGACCCCCCGGCUGACCCCCUGGCAGGGGAAGAGGGCAGGCUGCUGGAGGAGGUGCUGCUGCCGCUGUCCCGGGGGGACCCGCCCCC